Long non-coding RNA from Metopolophium dirhodum (rose-grain aphid), 624 nucleotides. RefSeq lists it as uncharacterized. The transcript has 3 exons. NCBI's taxonomy places the organism in Eukaryota, Metazoa, Arthropoda, Insecta, Hemiptera, Aphididae. The record is from RefSeq and is a predicted model, not a curated record.
AUACGUAGAAACAUACGAACGCCAGAACGUGGGAAUACCGUUUAGCGAGACACACAAUAGUCAAUAAUAUAACAUAAAUGAUAAAUCAUAAUAUUCAUAAUACUAUUGAUAUUUAUUAUUUAAUGCUCUAUUAUUGAUAUGAUAUUGAGAAUGGUUGUCAUAGUGUGAUUAACGAUUUUAAUGAGUAAUGACCAAUAAAUAAUUUUAUUAGUUAAUACUUACCAUCAGUUGACAGUUGGUAAGUUUUCAUUUUUUUGAUUUUGGUGUUACCUAUAGUGUACUUUUUACAAGUUAUUACGAUAUAAUAUAGUAGAAUUGUAUCAUGGCUGGCCUACUAAAAUACAAAUUUACCAAGAUCAAAAAGACUGAUGGUAGUGAGAAUGUUGCACAAAUUAUUCAAAGUCCAUGUACAGAAAAUACGGUCUCUUCUGUCAAAAAAUAUGUCGCUGAAAUACCAAUAAUACCAGACUCUAAAUCAGAGUUUCCUGAAUGCUGGGAUUUUAAGCAGAUUACUUAUUUUACUUAAGAAUAUCCUUGGAUUUAUUUUAAAAAUAAACAUAUUGGAUGUAAGAUCUGUAGAGAUGUAAAUCAAAAUUUAUUAAAUCAAAAAGGAUCACAUGUGGC